CCUACGGGAGGCUGCAGUGGGGAAUAUUGCACAAUGGGCGCAAGCCUGAUGCAGCCAUGCCGCGUGUGUGAAGAAGGCCUUCGGGUUGUAAAGCACUUUCAGCGGGGAGGAAGGCGGUGAGGUUAAUAACCUCAUCGAUUGACGUUACCCGCAGAAGAAGCACCGGCUAACUCCGUGCCAGCAGCCGCGGUAAUACGGAGGGUGCAAGCGUUAAUCGGAAUUACUGAGCGUAAAGCGCACGCAGGCGGUCUGUCAAGUCGGAUGUGAAAUCCCCGGGCUCAACCUGGGAACUGCAUUCGAAACUGGCAGGCUAGAGUCUUGUAGAGGGGGGUAGAAUUCCAGGUGUAGCGGUGAAAUGCGUAGAGAUCUGGAGGAAUACCGGUGGCGAAGGCGGCCCCCUGGACAAAGACUGACGCUCAGGUGCGAAAGCGUGGGGAGCAAACAGGAUUAGAUACCCUUGUAGUC
This 465-nucleotide ribosomal RNA is filed under the name uncultured Klebsiella sp. RNAcentral's name for it is "bacterial SSU rRNA". It matches the Rfam family "Bacterial small subunit ribosomal RNA", at positions 338 to 795 of the family's 1533-position model. Lineage: Bacteria; Pseudomonadati; Pseudomonadota; Gammaproteobacteria; Enterobacterales; Enterobacteriaceae. The record is from RNAcentral.